Molecule: unclassified non-coding RNA, 243 nt
Filed under: Hevea brasiliensis (rubber tree)
Lineage: Eukaryota; Viridiplantae; Streptophyta; Magnoliopsida; Malpighiales; Euphorbiaceae
Source: RNAcentral
GUUGUUCUUAUUUAAUGUCAUUUCCAUACUGCUUUCUGGAUUUGUAAUGUAAUCCCAUGGUUGUCUUGUCCAUGUUGAUGUUUGAAACCUGCACAAUGCUUUUGUUUUGUUGAUUGACCAUAAAUUCUGUGAAGAUUUAUCUUCUUCAGAGACCAAUAUUGUUCAAGAGUCAGAUAGAGUUGCAUAUUUUGGAACCAUGGUUUUAAAUUGCAGUCUUGAUUGCUAGGGGUGAGCAAAUUUCGG